UACGGAGGGUGCAAGCGUUGUUCGGAAUCAUUGGGCGUAAAGCGCGUGUAGGCGGCUUGGCAAGUCGGUUGUGAAAGCCCGGGGCCCAACCCCGGAAUUGCAUCUGAAACUGCCUCGCUAGAGUCCCGGAGAGGAAGGCAGAAUUCCCGGUGUAGGGGUGAAAUCCGUAGAUAUCGGGAGGAACACCGGUGGCGAAGGCGGUUACCUGGACAAUUACUGACGCUCAGGCACGAAAGCAUGGGGAGCAAAAGGG
Molecule: ribosomal RNA, 253 nt
Filed under: uncultured bacterium
Lineage: Bacteria
Description: partial 16S ribosomal RNA
Rfam family: Bacterial small subunit ribosomal RNA
Source: RNAcentral